RNA transcript from Cebus imitator (Panamanian white-faced capuchin), 3952 nucleotides. It is a transcript of the gene named FAM161 centrosomal protein A, with no coding region annotated. NCBI's taxonomy places the organism in Eukaryota, Metazoa, Chordata, Mammalia, Primates, Cebidae. The record is from RefSeq and is a predicted model, not a curated record. The transcript has 7 exons.
CUCCCGGGGGAGCCAUGUUAGGUAGCGGGACGCCACCCUUGCCACUCUUCUGAGAAUGCCACCCAAUAACACGCCCUGCUUUCCUUCUCCUCCGCCGUCUCUUCCAUCAACCGUCUCCUUCUCACAUGUUAUUGCAGUUAAUAAAAAAGCGCUCGUUUCUUCACAAAAGCAGUUGUUUCAUUGUAUAAUGUGAGAAGUUUGCGUUUAGGCGGUUAGACGCAAAGCAGUGGAAUAAAUGCCCUGCUCAGCCUGCCAACCUUCGGAACCAGCAAACAGACUCGUUAUUAGGUGCCACGAUCCAGUGAGCGCCCGACUCGGGUCUCUGGCAGCCUGCGAGGUUUAUGCGUGACUUUUGGUCCCUCGCGGCCCCUGUAGCGUCCCCAGCUACGGCGCCCCUAGCAACCGCCCUCCCUAGCAAGGAGCCGCAGGGCCGCCAGGGGCCGCGCCUGCUUUCCCGCCCCGGGCCAGCGCAGGCGCUGAGGCCGCGGAGGCGGGGUGAUGGCCGCCUCCCACCAAGCGGCGAAACUGGCGGCCUCCAGUCUCCAGGUACCGGUCAAUCCCAUUACUGGGGCGCGGGUCGCCCAGUACGAACGCGAAGACCCCUUAAAGGCCCUGGCGGCAGCUACAGCGACCUCGGAGGACGAAGAGGAGGAGAAAGUGGCGCAGCCCGCGGGGGCGUCGGCCGAUUUUAACACCAACUUUUCUGGGGUGGAUGAACAUGCACCGAGAAGCUCUGAGGACUUUGUGAACCUUUCUGGUAUUUACCACUCUAAUGAGGAGUAUUUCAAGAAAUUAGAAGAGUUGAAGGCUGCCCACAUAGAAACUAUGGCAAAAUUAGAGAAAAUGUACCAGGAUAAAUUAAAUUUAAAGGAAGUUCAGCCAUUGGUCAUCAGGGAAGACUCUCUUAGUGACUCUUCCAGAUCUGUAUCAGAAAAGAACUCCUAUCACCCUGUCUCAUUAAUGACAUCAUUUUCAGAGCCUGAUUUAGGCCAGUCUUCCUCCUUGUAUGUGUCCUCCUCUGAAGAGGAGUUGCCCAACCUAGAAAAAAAGUAUCCUAAGAAAGACAGAAUGAUGACCUAUGCUAAGGAGCUCAUCAACAACAUGUGGACAGAUUUUUGUGUUGAAGAUUAUAUUCGCUGUAGACAUACUGGCUUCCAAGCAGCUGAAAAAAGGAAGAAACGAAAAGAAUGGGUGCCCACGAUAACAGUACCGAAGCCUUUUCAAAUGAUGAUAAGAGAACAGAAGAAAAAAGAAGAGUUCAUGAAAUCUAAAUCAGAUAUCGAAAUGGCACAUAAACUGCUCAAAAAGCAAGAAGAGGAUCCAGAGUGUAAGAAGAAAUUCCGAGCCAAUCCAGUUCCUGCAUUUGUCCUUUUCCCCCUUUACCAUGAUUUAAUCAAGCAAAAAGAAGAACAGAGAAGGUCUCUGAAGGAGAAAAGCAAAGAAGCUCUUUUGGCCUCACAAAAGCCAUUUAAAUUUAUAGCAAGGGAGGAACAGAAGCGAGCAGCCCAGGAAAAGCAGCUGAGAGACUUUUUUAAGUCUAAAAAGAAAACAAAUCGAUUUAAAGCCAGACCCAUUCCUCGAUCUACUUAUGGUUCAACUACCAAGGACAAGUUAAAAGAAGAAGAGCUCUAUCGAAACCUUAGGAUGCAGCUGAGAGCCCAGGAGCGUUUACAGAACUCAUCUUCUCUGCCUUCUAGGUCAGCUUGCGGAUGCAGGAAUCCCAGGUGUCCUGAACAGGCUGUAAAGUUGAAGUGUAAACACAAGGCUAGGUGCCGGACUCCUGAUUUUGAGGCCCUUCCUGAGAGAUAUCAGAAACACCUCUCAGAGCAUGAGUCUCCAAAACUCUUAACGGUGUGUAAACCAUUUGAUCUUCAUUCAUCUCCACAUGCAUCUACUAAAAGAGAAAAAAUUUUGGCAGACAUCAAAGCAGAUGAAGAAAAUUUAAAAGAAACUCGUUGGCCUUAUUUGUCUCCAAGGCAUAAGUCACCAGUAAGAUGUGCAGGUGUAAAGCCUGUGCCUUGUACCUGCAACCCUCCAGUGCCCACGGCAUCUUCCAGAAAACGAGAACAAGCCAUAAGGAGAUCACUUGAGGAAAAGAAAAUGUUGGAAGAAGAGAGAAAUCGGAUGCUAACUAAACAGAAGCAAAGAAUGAAAGAAUUGCAGAAACUCCUGACAACCCGGGCUAAGGCUUAUGACUCACAUCAAAGUUUAGCUCAGAUAUCUAAAUACAGAGUAAAAUAUCUCAGAAAGAGUGAAAAGGAAAGGAUGAGAGCAUACCGACGAGAACUAGAAGAAAGAGAAGAAAAGUUAAAAAAGAGGCCACUGCUAUUUGAAAGAGUUGCUCAGGUUUGUCUUUCCUGUAGAAAAAUGCAAGAAUGGCAGCAGAAAAGCAUUAUUCUGUUACCCUAAAAGCACUAGGAAUAUCUGAUGAGUUUGUUUCAAAGAAAGGCCAAAGUGGAAAAGUACUUGAGUACUUCAACAAUCAGGAGACGAAAAGUGUCACCGAAGACAAAGAAAGCUUUAAUGAAGAAGAAAAAAUAGAAGAGAGAGAAAAUGGGGAAGAAAAUUAUUUUAUUGAUACCAACAGCCAGGAUUCUUACAAGGAAAAAGGUGAAGCUGAUGAAGAGAGUGGAGAAGAGAAAUCUGUUGAAGAAUCACAUUGAACCAUCAAGGUCUCCUCUCUAUGCCCUUGCUGCUGUUUGCAGCGUCAGGGUGUCAGCAGCUGCAUUUGUGUUUAGAACAUCUGUGGGGACACCUCUGAUAUGUGCAGGGCAGUUGAGCAAAGUCAUCUGUAGCCUGAAAAGCCUGAAUCCAGCUUAUUGGUCAUUUGAUCAGUUAGAGUAAGGCUUUGCCUAUUCAGUUUUAAAAAUCAUUAUAUACAAUCUGUUUGCAACUAUGAUUUUGUAUUUUUUAAAAGUGUUUGAGAAUCACAGCUUUCACAAACUGUUAUAAAAAUAUAUGUUGUUUCAUUAAUUUUAGUAGAAAAAAUGGCUUAGUAUUGAAAGCAGAGAGAAAUAUUGGUCUUUGGUGAUUUACUUUUUAAAAUUUUCUGGAAAGUGUGAAUCAAUAAGUAUUUUUAAUUAUACUAUUUGUCCAUUCUUUUUCUCUGAAAUACAUUUCACAGAAUAAAUCCUUGAACUUAUUUUGCUACUCUGAGCCAUUUUUAAAACUAAAGAAAAAAAUACUUACAAAUUUUAUUUUUGCACUGAAAGUUUACUGUUAAAUUGUCUACACCAUCAUCCCUUUUUCUUUUAAUCCUUAGUUCUAGUCCAAACUAUUUUUGAUAUGUAAAUUAUUAGGAACGUUUUUAUACUAGCUUUUUUAAACUUUUGCAUUAUUACAGAUGGAAGUAUUUAUGGCAUGUGUGAGUUAUAAUCUAAAUUGGGGGCAAGUAUUCCUGUUUUAUAUAUGAUGAAAUGGUACAUAAUAACUUGGCUAAGGAAAGUAUCCAAAAUAAUUCAGAUUUAACUCUUUACUGCUAGACCCAGGUGUGUUCAACUUUUUACAUAUUGUUGCAAACACACUUUGUCUCUCUGUGUACAAUGUUAAUCUGAUUUUAUGAAUCUAUAGUUUUUUUUCUUUAAGCAAAUUUUUGUUUUAAAAUUUGAAGCCAAUCAUAAAGCUGUUACAGCAUAAGACAUUUUCUUUUCUAAAAACAAUCAGCAUAAUUGUAAAAGGAUGAACUCAUAUAAGUGUACAUAAUAGCAGUGUUUCCCAACUGGCAAUUUGUGUUUUAAAUUGAAAAAUAAGGUUAUUUUUCUUCAUCAGGGGCAAAUGUUAACUUGUAAUUUCCUUCCUACAGUUCAUGUUAAAUUACUUUUCACUUUUAUUAAAUUGUAAACUCCUUGGGAAUUGGCACCAUUUACAAAUUCAUCUUUGUAUUCCCUUAAUAUUUGGUGCAGGAUUGUACGUAUGGUAGGUACUUAAUAAAGGUUUGAAUGACUGUGCAGAU